Molecule: ribosomal RNA, 468 nt
Filed under: uncultured bacterium
Lineage: Bacteria
Description: partial 16S ribosomal RNA
Rfam family: Bacterial small subunit ribosomal RNA
Source: RNAcentral
GACGAACGCUGGCGGCGUGCUUAACACAUGCAAGUCGAACGGAAAGGCCCUGCUUUUGUGGGGUGCUCGAGUGGCGAACGGGUGAGUAACACGUGAGUAACCUGCCCUUGACUUUGGGAUAACUUCAGGAAACUGUGGCUAAUACCGGAUAGGAGCUCCUGCUGCAUGGUGGGGGUUGGAACGUUUCGGCGGUUGGGGAUGGACUCGCGGCUUAUCAGCUUGUUGGUGGGGUAGUGGCUUACCAAGGCUUUGACGGGUAGCCGGCCUGAGAGGGUGACCGGCCACAUUGGGACUGAGAUACGGCCCAGACUCCUACGGGAGGCAGCAGUGGGGAAUAUUGCACAAUGGGCGGAAGCCUGAUGCAGCAACGCCGCGUGCGGGAUGACGGCCUUCGGGUUGUAAACCGCUUUCGCCUGUGACGAAGCGUGAGUGACGGUAAUGGGUAAAGAAGCACCGGCUAACUACGUG